Molecule: non-coding RNA, 433 nt
Organism: Doryrhamphus excisus (bluestripe pipefish)
Lineage: Eukaryota; Metazoa; Chordata; Actinopteri; Syngnathiformes; Syngnathidae
Source: RefSeq, a predicted model, not a curated record
CUGUGUACUUCCGGGGUCAAGUGUUCGACUGAGACAGUGACCGGUGUGCUGUUGGGGCAUACGUGUCUUUCGGCGUCCUAUUGUGGUGAGACGCCCGUAGCCGCCUGGGUUUACUCCCUCGCUCCUCUCAUGUGCCUGUGUAUCUGCUUAAAAGUUGCUGAGGAUCGGUGGUGGUGCUGGUGGUCUGGGUGGCGGUAUCCCCUCCUUCCGUGUGCGGUGCUCCUCUGGGAUUGGUUUUCUUUGCACAACCCUGUGUGAGUGUGUCACGUGUGACUGGGUGCUUUUUGAGUUGUUUUGGGUGGAUCCCUCCCCCCUUCACUAGCCCAUUGUCCACCUGGUAAGCCUCAGCACCUGAUUAGGUUUCCCUCUUCCCCUUCUUGUGUGUGGUAUUUUAAACGGAUGUCAACUUGUUAAUAAAAUCUAUUAAUUUUUU